This 265-nucleotide ribosomal RNA is filed under the name uncultured bacterium. RNAcentral's name for it is "partial 16S ribosomal RNA". It matches the Rfam family "Bacterial small subunit ribosomal RNA", at positions 793 to 1055 of the family's 1533-position model. The record is from RNAcentral.
GUCCACGCCGUAAACGAUGUCAACUAGCCGUUGGUUCUAUUUAAUAGAAUUAGUGGCGCAGCUAACGCAUUAAGUUGACCGCCUGGGGAGUACGGCCGCAAGGUUAAAACUCAAAUGAAUUGACGGGGGCCCGCACAAGCGGUGGAGCAUGUGGUUUAAUUCGAUGCAACGCGAAGAACCUUACCUACCCUUGACAUCCAGAGAAUCUGUUAGAGAUAGUAGAGUGCCUUCGGGAGCUCUGAGACAGGUGCUGCAUGGCUGUCGU